AUUGAACGCUGGCGGCAUGCCUUACACAUGCAAGUCGAACGGCAGCACGGGUGCUUGCACCUGGUGGCGAGUGGCGAACGGGUGAGGAAUACAUCGGAACGUACCUUAUUGUGGGGAUAACGCAGCGAAAGUUGCGCCAAUACCGCAUACGCCCUGAGGGGGAAAGCGGGGGACCGUAAGGCCUAGAGCGAUGAGAGCGGCCGAUGUCUGAUUAGCUUGUUGGUGAGGUCAAAGCUCACCAAGGCGAUGAUCAGUAGCUGGUCUGAGAGGAAGAUCAGCCACACUGGGACUGAGACACGGCCCAGACUCCUACGGGAGGCAGCAGUGGGGAAUUUUGGACAAUGGGGGCAACCCUGAUCCAGCAAUGCCGCGUGAGUGAAGAAGGCCUUCGGGUUGUAAAGCUCUUUUGUCAGGGAAGAAACAGCAGCUCAAACACAGUCUGCGAAUGGCGGUACCUGAAGAAUAAGCACCGGCUAACUACGUGCCAGAAGCCGCAGUAA
RNAcentral lists this ribosomal RNA (500 nucleotides) under uncultured bacterium. RNAcentral describes it as "partial 16S ribosomal RNA". It matches the Rfam family "Bacterial small subunit ribosomal RNA", at positions 29 to 523 of the family's 1533-position model. The record is from RNAcentral.